GGUGUUGUGGCUCAGUGGUAGAGCGCUUGCCUCGCAUGCAUGAGGCACUGGGUUCAAUCCCCGGCAUCACAU
Molecule: transfer RNA, 72 nt
Filed under: Ictidomys tridecemlineatus (thirteen-lined ground squirrel)
Lineage: Eukaryota; Metazoa; Chordata; Mammalia; Rodentia; Sciuridae
Description: Spermophilus tridecemlineatus (thirteen-lined ground squirrel) tRNA
Rfam family: tRNA
About the family: Transfer RNA (tRNA) molecules are approximately 80 nucleotides in length. Their secondary structure includes four short double-helical elements and three loops (D, anti-codon, and T loops).
Source: Rfam by way of RNAcentral